RNAcentral lists this ribosomal RNA (200 nucleotides) under uncultured eukaryote. RNAcentral's name for it is "partial 18S ribosomal RNA". The record is from RNAcentral.
GGCCAUUCACCUGCGUUUGGGGUUUGGUGGUUUCGUUCGGUAAGGCGAUCCUUCGAGCACCGUGCCAUGCCGAAUAUCUUUUUACUUUAUCCAGUGUCGCACCGCUCAUCGAGCACCGUCCUCCACCGUGGCUUCGCUGCUGGGCUCCUCAACGAGACGCACGGUGCGUUCGAUGCUAUCGGCCACCUUCCGGCGAUGUC